This 303-nucleotide unclassified non-coding RNA is filed under the name Hevea brasiliensis (rubber tree). Lineage: Eukaryota; Viridiplantae; Streptophyta; Magnoliopsida; Malpighiales; Euphorbiaceae. The record is from RNAcentral.
AAAAAUUCCAUGGCACAGAGUAUAAAUGAUCACUCCAACAAUAUGAUCACUCCAACGAAUAAACAAUCUAUCUCAAGCCACAGCAUAGACAUAAAAUAAUUUACAAGACAUUGUUAUACUAAAUAAUAGAAGACCGCACAUCAGUCUGCCUGUCUCGUGAAUUCAUUCACAGCCUUAAAACAGAAUCGAUUUGUCUCACAAACAAAACAAUAUUUACUAAUCCUUUUCAAGCACCUACACAAGCAAGGAUACCAAAAUCCAAUUACCAACUAAACUCAUCCUACUCCAUAAAGUGGCAUUCCA